This 511-nucleotide ribosomal RNA is filed under the name Bombyx mori (domestic silkworm). Its description in RNAcentral is "partial large subunit ribosomal RNA". Lineage: Eukaryota; Metazoa; Arthropoda; Insecta; Lepidoptera; Bombycidae. The record is from RNAcentral.
GUCUUUUUGUUAAUAAUUUAAAGUCUAAUCUGCCCACUGAUAUAUUUAUUAAAGGGCUGCAGUAUUUUGACUGUACAAAGGUAGCAUAAUCAUUAGUCUUUUAAUUGGUGACUUGUAUGAAAGAUUGGAUGAAAUAUAAACUGUCUCUUUUAUAAAAAAAAAAUUGAAUUUAAUUUUUUAAUUAAAAAGUUAAAAUUAUUUAAAAAGACGAGAAGACCCUAUAGAGUUUUAUAAUUUAUUUUGUAAAUAUUUUUAUUUUUAUAUUUUUAUAAUUUUAAAUUAUUUUGUUGGGGUGAUAAAAAAAUUUAAUUAACUUUUUUUAAUAGUUUACAUUAAUAAGUGAUUAAAUGAUCCAAUUUUAUUGAUUAAAAGAAAAAAUUACCUUAGGGAUAACAGCGUAAUUUUUUUUUUAGUUCAAAUAAAAAGAAAAGUUUGCGACCUCGAUGUUGGAUUAAGAUAAAAUUUAAAUGUAGAAGUUUAAAAUUUUGAUCUGUUCGAUCAUUUAAAUCUU